Lampris incognitus (smalleye Pacific opah) is the source of this 2910-nucleotide long non-coding RNA. RefSeq lists it as uncharacterized. The transcript is spliced from 2 exons. The record is from RefSeq and is a predicted model, not a curated record. Lineage: Eukaryota; Metazoa; Chordata; Actinopteri; Lampriformes; Lampridae.
CACGUACUGGGACGCAACGUUUCGAACGUCAUAUACGUCCUGACGUUUGUUUCGGGGAGGGGCUAUUUAUCGUUGUUUUCGAGGCUCGCAACUUCCAUACUCUCCAUUUUGUGACAGCGUUUCAGCCAAACCAAGCAGCGUCCUGUGAAAAAGGGGCUCCAGAGAACGACUAGCCAACGAAUCGCUUGCUUGCCGAGUUAUUAUCCAAAAGCAAAUUAAAUCGUAUCGUAUGUCCGCUAACCGGAACCUCAAAACUUGAGGUGUGCCUGCAAUGGGACAGUAAUCAACUAUGGAGAGUAUGGUGAAGUGAUCCAGUGCAAGAAUAUCUGCGACUGUCAGUGAUUUGUGUUUACUAUAUACACUGAUGAGCCAAACAUGACCAUUCCCAGGUGAACCGAAUAAUGUUGAUCCUCUCCAUAUGUGAGCACAUCUCAAGGUCUGGGUAGAUUAGAUGGUAAAACGAACAAACAGUUCUUGUAGUCAACGUGUUGGAUGCAGGAGAAAUGGGCAGGAGUAAAGACCUGAGUGACUUUGACAAGGGCCAAAUUGUUAUGGCCAGACGACUGGGCCAGAGCAUCUCUGAAACAGCAAGGCUUGUGGGGUGCUCCCGGUCCGCCGUGGUGAGUACCUACCGACAGUGGUCCGAGGAGGGACAAAUCACAAACCGGCGACAGGGCGUUGGACGCCCAAGGCUCAUCGAUGAGCGAGGGCAACGAAGGCUAUCCCGUAUGGUCCGACCCGACAGAAGGUCUACUGUGGCACAAGUCACAGAAAAUUUUAAUGAUGGUUAUGGGAGGAACGUGUCACAACACACAGUGCAUCGCACCCUGCUGCGUAUGGGGCUGCGUAGCCACAGACCGGUUAGCGUCCCCAUGAUGACCCCUGUUCACCGUCAGAAGCGCCUACAAUGGGCACGCGAGCGUCGGAACUGGACCUUGGAGCAGUGGAAGAUGUGGUGUAUUCAGGCGGUGUACUCAGGCUCAAAACGGCAGCCUUCAAUAUCAGACCAUUAAUAUCUGAUGAAAUAUCUCCUUCCAAUGUAUAAUCCUCAAAAUUUGGUUUUUAAUUUACACAUGAGCUCGCCUGCCAGUGUAAUCUGAACACUUCGAUGCUAAAUAGGGGGGCAGUAUUCUAAAAGUAUUCUAAAAUGUAUAAUGUAACCAAUUAGAAUACUGAUGUUUCAAAACGUGACGUGGGUGGAAUACAGAUAAUUCAUUUCUGCAUUCUGAGCACAUUAUACUGUUACUUGUAUUGCCAUCUCGUGUUUUAACAACAAUGGCUUGUGUAAUGUCCAGCAGGUGAAAGAUUUCGUGAAUAAAAUAGUGUUGAUAAGAGACAGAACAGCCACGGUAUCUAGGGAAUCCUCCCAGAUCAAAGACGUCUGGAAACAACUGGUCCAAGCGAUAUAGACAGCCCCGUGGUGUUCUGCACAGUAUGGAUGUGUGGACCAGCCAUUGCUUUAGACACCACUAGGCUAAACAGGCUAAGAGUAGCUGGAGGACUCUUUGAUGGAAAGAAAAGUUAACUGCUUCUAGCAGACACGACAACAAUAUUUGUAAAAGACAAAAAUGAUUCCAUUUAUUUCAAGAGAAGAUAGAUAGGUAGAAUUUAUGGCAAGACACUUUGGUUUAAAAAGCACAGGAAUGAAUUAGUACCUUAAACCUAGCCAUCAGGGAACCAUACUUUCGCUGACGGUCCUAUAGGAAGCAUGUUUUGCCCAAUCAUUCAAGUUUGACACCACUAAACUAGAUUCUUUGGGGAAGGUUCAACAAUUGAAAUGCAUAUAUGUUUGCAAACAUUGAUUGACAAUUUGAUUCUAUUUAAGUGCAUCACAUUUGUUAAAAGUGCUCUUUACUAGUUGAAUCAAGUUGUGGGUUGCAGCAGGCUGUAGCCUGUCCCAGUAUGCGCUAAACAGAGGGCAGAGACACUCUGGGCAUCUGCUCAUCCAUUGUAGGGUCAACACACAGUCACUUACACACCAUUUGCACCAAUGGGCAAUUUAGAGUAUUCACUUCAACCUACAUGCACAUCAGUGGACUGUGGGAGAAAACUGCGAGUCACCAGAGAGAACUACCAACAGAAACUUUCAAACUCUCAGAAGGAGUUGGCUCCAUCACAGGAACCUGUUGCCAUGAAGUAACCUUGCUAACCACUAAGCCCACAUAUGCAGACCUAUCAGUUCUGGUGUUCAAGGUAAACCAAGUGUUUGAAUAAAAGGCAACAGAAAUAAAUUCAAACAGUGAUCCACUUUUUUUCACAAGAUGACGCAGUGUGUAUAUGUGAAGUUUACUACAGUUGUUAGCGUUUAUCAAAUGUUUAAUUCAUGUUUGCUUAUUUAAUGGUUUAAGAAUUUAUGUCGAUGCUCCCUUUGCUCAUAUGUUAAUAAUAAUGAAAUUGGGUCGAUGGCGGUAAGGAUGCGGGUUGCUUUCUGUCACGUCAUACACUCGGAUCUGGUUGUGUGUAAUUACUCAAAAAAACCACUGGUAUUUGAUGAAACUUACAUUGUCCAUCACACCACUGCAUUUGGACUGAUUGAUCCCGGAAGAGUUUACUAUUUUCAUUGUUCACGUGUGUCAUGUGAACAUUGAAAAUAAAUCUGUACUUGCAGCCUCAGUCCCCGGCCACAUGGACGUUUAGCACGUCUAUGUAGGCUGGCAUGUUUAGGCAUACAGAUAGUCUUAAGGUAUUACAGCAAUGGAAAACACUCCCCUUUAUGGGUGUGCAGUGGAACCACUGUAUUUGUAUUUGUUGAGAUAAAUUCAUUUUUAUUUAUUUUUGAUAGAAACCAGAAAUGGGCAGGAUUCAAUUGGUUCCAUACAAAGGAAGUCCUUUUUUAGAUGUAGAUCCAUUGCCAUUGAUAGUUUUUAUAUAUAAUGUGUGUCAUCCAUGAAUAAAACUACAAACUUGCAA